UACGUAGGGGGCGAGCGUUGUCCGGAGUUACUGGGCGUAAAGCGCACGCAGGCGGUCUGCUAAGUUUGGAGUGACAGUUGGUGGCUUAACUGCCAAAGUGCUUCGAAAACUGACAGACUUGAGGGCUUCAGAGGGACACGGAAUUCCGGGUGGAGUGGUGAAAUGCGUAGAGAUCCGGAGGAACACCAAAGGCGAAGGCAGUGUCCUGGGGAGUACCUGACGCUCAGGUGCGAAAGCCAGGGGAGCUAACGGG
Molecule: ribosomal RNA, 253 nt
Filed under: uncultured bacterium
Lineage: Bacteria
Description: partial 16S ribosomal RNA
Rfam family: Bacterial small subunit ribosomal RNA
Source: RNAcentral